UACGGAGGGGGCAAGCGUUGUCCGGAUUUAUUGGGCGUAAAGCGCUCGCAGGUGGUUCGUCGCGUCGUGCGUGAAAGACCCCGGCUCAACUGGGGAGGGUCGUGCGAUACGGGCGAACUGGAGGCCAGUAGGGGGAUGCGGAAUUCCGGGUGUAGUGGUGGAAUGCGUAGAGAUCCGGAGGAACACCAGCGGCGAAGGCGGCAUCCUGGACUGGUCCUGACACUCAGGAGCGAAAGCGUGGGGAGCGAUCCGG
RNAcentral lists this ribosomal RNA (253 nucleotides) under uncultured bacterium. RNAcentral describes it as "partial 16S ribosomal RNA". It matches the Rfam family "Bacterial small subunit ribosomal RNA", at positions 524 to 776 of the family's 1533-position model. The record is from RNAcentral.